Molecule: long non-coding RNA, 1636 nt
Filed under: Homo sapiens (human)
Lineage: Eukaryota; Metazoa; Chordata; Mammalia; Primates; Hominidae
Description: non-protein coding lnc-PITX1-4:2
Source: RNAcentral
AUAUUAUACUAGAAUUUACCAUCUCACUUCUAGGAAUACUAGUAUAUCGCUCACACCUGAUAUCCUCCCUACUAUGCCUAGAAGGAAUAAUACUAUCACUAUUCAUUAUAGCCACUCUCAUAACCCUCAACACCCACUCCCUCUUAGCCAAUAUUGUACCUAUCGCCAUACUAGUCUUUGCUGCCUGCAAGGCAGCAGUAGGCCUAGCCCUACUAGUCUCAAUCUCCAACACGUAUGGCCUAGACUACGUACAUAACCUAAGCCUACUCCAAUGCUAAAACUAAUUGUCCCAACAAUUAUAUUACUACCACUGACAUGACUCUCCAAAAAACACAUAAUUUGAAUCAACACAACCACUCACAGCCUAAUUAUUAGCACCAUCCCCCUACUAUUUUUCAACCAAAUCAACAACAACCUAUUUAGCUGCUCCUUAUCCUUCUCCUCCGACCCCCUAACGACCCCCCUCCUAAUACUAACUACCUGACUCCUGCCCCUCACAAUCAUGGCAAGCCAACGCCACUUAUCCAAUGAACCACUAUCACGAAAAAAACUCUACCUCUCUAUACUAAUCUCCCUACAAAUCUCCUUAAUUAUGACAUUCACAGCCAUAGAACUAAUCAUAUUUUAUAUCUUCUUCGAAACCACACUUAUCCCCACCCUGGCUAUCAUCACCCGAUGAGGCAACCAACCAGAACGCCUGAACGCAGGUACAUACUUCCUAUUCUACACCCUAGUAGGCUCCCUCCCCCUACUCAUCGCACUAAUCUACACCCACAACACCCUAGGCUCACUGAAUAUUCUAUUACUCACUCUUACUGCCCAAGAACUAUCAAACUCCUGAGCCAAUAACUUAAUAUGGCUAGCGUACACAAUAGCUUUUAUAGUAAAAAUACCUCUUUACGGUCUCCACCUAUGGCUCCCUAAAGCCCAUGUCGAAGCCCCCAUCGCUGGGUCAAUAGUACUUGCUGCAGUACUCUUAAAAUUAGGCGGCUAUGGUAUAAUACGCCUCACACUCAUUCUCAACCCCCUGACAAAACAUAUAGCCUACCCCUUCCUUGUACUAUCCCUGUGAGGCAUAAUUAUAACAAGCUCCAUCUGCCUGCGACAAACAGACCUAAAAUCGCUCAUUGCAUACUCUUCAAUCAGCCACAUAGCCCUCGUAGUAACAGCCAUCCUCAUCCAAACCCCCUGAAGCUUCACCGGCGCAGUCAUUCUCAUAGUCGCCCACGGACUUACAUCCUCAUUACUAUUCUGCCUAGCAAACUCAAACUACGAACGUACCCACAGUCGCAUCAUAAUUCUCUCUCAAGGACUUCAAACCCUACUCCCACUAAUAGCCUUUUGAUGACUUCUAGCAAGCCUCACUAAUCUCGCCUUACCCCCCACUAUUAACCUACUAGGAGAACUCUCUGUGCUAGUAACCACAUUCUCCUGAUCAAAUAUCACUCUCCUACUUACAGGACUCAACAUACUAAUCACAGCCCUAUACUCCCUCUACAUAUUUACCACAACACAAUGAGGCUCGCUCAGCCACCACAUUAACAACAUAAAACCCUCAUUCACACGAGAAAACACUCUCAUGUUCAUACACCUAUCCCCUAUCCUCCUCCUAUCCCUCAACCCCGAUAUCAUUACC